UACGUAGGGUGCGAGCGUUAAUCGGAAUUACUGGGCGUAAAGCGUGCGCAGGCGGUUUUGCAAGACAGAUGUGAAAUCCCCGGGCUUAACCUGGGAACUGCAUUUGUGACUGCAAGGCUAGAGUGUGUCAGAGGGAGGUGGAAUUCCGCGUGUAGCAGUGAAAUGCGUAGAGAUGCGGAGGAACACCGAUGGCGAAGGCAGCCUCCUGGGAUAACACUGACGCUCAUGCACGAAAGCGUGGGGAGCAAACAGG
This 253-nucleotide ribosomal RNA is filed under the name uncultured bacterium. Its description in RNAcentral is "partial 16S ribosomal RNA". It matches the Rfam family "Bacterial small subunit ribosomal RNA", at positions 524 to 776 of the family's 1533-position model. The record is from RNAcentral.